AGCCACUGAUGACAAACUUAGCUUUUCUGACACCUCGUAUGAGAGCGUAAUUACUGCUCCUGAUUCUAACUCUGAUCUGAGGCUC
Lampris incognitus (smalleye Pacific opah) is the source of this 85-nucleotide small nucleolar RNA. RefSeq annotates it as small nucleolar RNA SNORD60. The transcript has a single exon. The record is from RefSeq and is a predicted model, not a curated record. NCBI's taxonomy places the organism in Eukaryota, Metazoa, Chordata, Actinopteri, Lampriformes, Lampridae.